RNA transcript from Solanum tuberosum (potato), 2603 nucleotides. RefSeq lists it as uncharacterized. The transcript is spliced from 14 exons. The record is from RefSeq and is a predicted model, not a curated record. NCBI's taxonomy places the organism in Eukaryota, Viridiplantae, Streptophyta, Magnoliopsida, Solanales, Solanaceae.
CAUUUAAUCUUACCACUUCUCUAGAACAACAAACUUUCAUCCAUGGAUUCUUUACCGGUGAAUUGGGAGGCACUAGACUCUCUGAUUAUCGAUUUCGUCAAAUCGGAAAACCUAAUCGAAGACUCAGGUUCUCCUUCAACUUCGCCGUCGACGUCUCUAUCGCCGUCUUCGUCAACCUCAUCUUCAUCUUCUUCCUCUUAUCAGUCAAGAUUACUUAUUCGGCAGAUCAGACGUUCAGUGGAGUUUGGUGACAUUGAUGCCGCUAUCGAUCUCUUGCGUCUGCAUGCGCCUUUUGUUCUUGAUGAUCAUCGUCUUCUCUUCUGCUUACAGAAGCAGAGGUUUAUUGAGCUUUUGAGGAAAGGAACUGCAGAGGACCGAGAAUCUGCCAUUAAUUGCCUCCGAGAGUCACUGGCACCUUGUGCGUUGGAUGCAUAUCCAGAAGCAUAUGAGGAAUUUAAGCAUAUUCUUCUUGCCUUGGUUUAUGACGAAGAAGAUAAGAAUUCUCCAGUGGUGAGUGAGUGGUCUCCAAGGAGGAGGAUUGACAUUGCUGGACUGCUGUCAUCUGUUUUAAGGGCUCAUUUAUGUGCAUAUGAUCCUCUUUUUGCAAUGUCAUUGAGGUACUUGAUAAGCAUACACAAGUUGUUUUGCUUUCGUCAGGGAGUUCCAUCACCUAUAUCAGAUCUUACACAGAGAUUACUUCUUGAGGACCGUGACCCCCCUGCAACACCACUUGAGAGUUCCUAUGAAGCACCUCCGUUUGAUGAGGUGGACAUACAAGCUCUUGCUCAUGCGGUAGAGCUUACAAGGCAGGGGGCUAUUGAUAGCUUGAGAUUUGCCAAGGGUGACUUAUAUCAAGCAUUUCAGAAUGAGCUGUGCCGAAUAAGAUUGGAUGACCCCAUGUUUGAUGAGCUUGUUCAUGAGUAUUGUGUCUAUAGGGGUUUUGUCAACUUCAGUGUGGUAGAUUCUCCUGGGAUGCAACUUAGUAUCAAUGACGAUCAAUCAGAGUCUGGACAAUUAUCAAAGAACUGUUCCACAGAAGUUGGGGACGGAAACACUAAACUUUCUGGCAGUGACACGUCUGCUUCUCAAGUUAUCAUGGAGGGAUCACCUGAAAGUAAUACCAACUUGGCUAGCAUUCAAAGUACUGAUACUGAAGAGCGUUACCCUAGUGAAGCAAGUUAUGGAGAUUGCAGUACCAGUGGGACUCCUCAGUUUGAAAAAGUUCUGCAGAAAAAUAAGUGUCUUAGAGUUGGCGAAACAAACAAGCGGAAAAGGUGGAGGGGGAGACAUGAAAACACCGAAUUUGUGUCUGGACCUACCAGUGAAAGGAGCAGAGAAGAUCUUAAUGCCGAUACGACAAUGUUGAAAGAUCAGCAGGUUUCUCCAAAAUCGUGCUUCCUGAAUAUGAUGAAGAAUAGAGAGGACAAGCAUGAACUUGUGCUGGGCUUGAAGGAAUUAGCUAGCAGAGGAAUGACAGAGGACGUUGUUGAGGAGAUUAAUGAGAUGGAUUCAAACUUUUUUGUGCAGAACCCUUCUCUGCUUUUUCAACUUAAGCAGGUUGAAUUUUUGAAGCUGGUUGGCUCUGGGGAUCAUACUCAAGCACUGAGGGUAGCCUGUUCUUUUCUGGGUCCUUUGGCUUCUGGUCAUCCUGAUCUGUUGAAGCCAUUGAAGGAGACUUUGCUAGCUUUACUCAAACCUAAUGAAGAGGCAUUUAAUGAUCGCUUGCCCUUAUGUGUUCUUGCCAAUACACUCCAGGUUGCUAUUGGUAGGAGGCUUGGUAUUGAAGAACCCCAGCUUAUGAAGAUCAUAAGGGCCACACUGUAUACACACAGUGAGUGGUUCAAACUUCAAAUGUGUAAAGAUCGAUUUGAAGGGCUCUUAAGGAUCGACGCCCUGAAGGAAGUUGGUGCCAAAUUGAUUAUAGAUGCUUCCAGAUUGGAUGUUGACAUGAGCACUGAUGGAUCAUCUCAAGUUACUGGUUCCUCAAAUAAUAGGAAACAGGAAGAUGGAAGUUCAACCCAGUCAUCGGCCAGAGAUGUUGGAUGUGAUGAAACUGCAAUACUAAAAGUUAUGGAAUUUCUGGCAUUGCCCCGAGCGGAUGCAAUUCACCUCCUUGCACAGUACAACGGGAAUGCAGAGACGGUCAUUCAGCAGAUAUUUGCAUAGCCCCUAGAUUAUAGCUGAACAUGCGUCUACAUUAGUCAACUUAACUUUGCUGUAGGAGUCUUUGAAGUUGCAAAUCGAGUUGAACAUAUAUAGGGAAGUAUUGCCAUAUUGCUUCAUUGACUGAUACACAGAAUGAUAUGCUACUAAAGAUCCACCAAUACUAUAAAGAUAAAAAGGAUUGGGCAAAGAUCGAACGGAAAUACUCAACACAUUCAGGCCGUAGCAACAAAGUGGAUGACAAAAUAACAAUACAAUGCCAUUUAGACUAACCGACUAGCGGCAUUGGACUUGCUGAAUUUUAUCUCGUCUGAUAUAGUUAUUUAUUGUUUUUAAUUUUUCAAAAAAGAAUAUCAACACACGAGCCGCAUUUCGAUGUAAAUCAAUCAAAACUCAAAAGAAAACAGAAAUAAACAUGGAAAUUUACCUUUUCCCUUUCA